UACGUAGGAACCGAGCGUUGUCCGGAAUUACUGGGCGUAAAGGGCGUGUAGGCGGCCUGCUAAGUCUCAUGUGAAAUCUCCCGGCUCAACUGGGAGGGGCCAUGGGAAACUAGUAGGCUUGAGGGCAGCAGAGGAAGGUGGAAUUCCCGGAGUAGUGGUGAAAUGCGUAGAUACCGGGAGGAACACCCGUGGCGAAAGCGGCCUUCUGGGCUGCUCCUGACGCUGAGGCGCGAGAGCAUGGGGAGCAAACCGG
Molecule: ribosomal RNA, 253 nt
Filed under: uncultured bacterium
Lineage: Bacteria
Description: partial 16S ribosomal RNA
Rfam family: Bacterial small subunit ribosomal RNA
Source: RNAcentral